UACGGAGGAUUCAAGCGUUAUACGGAUUUAUUGGGUUUAAAGGGUGCGUAGGCGGCCUUUUAAGUCAGCGGUGAAAGUCUGUGGCUCAACCAUAGAAUUGCCGUUGAAACUGGGGGGCUUGAGUAUGUUUGAGGCAGGCGGAAUGUAUGGUGUAGCGGUGAAAUGCUUAGAGAUCAUACAGAACACCGAUUGCGAAGGCAGCUUACCAAACUAUAUCUGACGUUGAGGCACGAAAGCGUGGGUAGCAAACAGG
RNAcentral lists this ribosomal RNA (253 nucleotides) under uncultured Parabacteroides sp. Its description in RNAcentral is "partial 16S ribosomal RNA". It matches the Rfam family "Bacterial small subunit ribosomal RNA", at positions 524 to 776 of the family's 1533-position model. The record is from RNAcentral. Lineage: Bacteria; Pseudomonadati; Bacteroidota; Bacteroidia; Bacteroidales; Tannerellaceae.